This is an RNA transcript of Aricia agestis (brown argus), 1605 nucleotides long. RefSeq lists it as uncharacterized. Lineage: Eukaryota; Metazoa; Arthropoda; Insecta; Lepidoptera; Lycaenidae. The transcript is spliced from 4 exons. The record is from RefSeq and is a predicted model, not a curated record.
CAGCAUAAUAAUCCAUUACAAACUAUAAGAUUACCUACUAUCACUUUGCCCGAGUUCGAUGGUAUGUAUGAGAGUUGGCUCGAGUUUCGAGACACUUAUAUGUCAUUAGUUCAUAAUUCAUCAGAGCUUAGCAACAUUCAAAAAUUCCAUUAUCUCAGAUCUUCGUUGAGAAGUAGUGCAUUAUUAGUUAUAAACUCAUUAGAACUAACUUCCGAUAAUUACAUUGUUGCAUGGGAACUUUUACAAAGCAGGUAUAACAAUAAUAGAUUAUUAAUUCAAAAUCACAUCAAGUCUAUAUUUAAUAUGCAACCAAUAACCAAGGAAUCUCAUUUAUUAAUUAGGAAUUUAAUUGACAGCACAUUAAGGAAUUUACGAGCUCUGAAAAUAUUGGGCGAGCCCACGAAUUUCUGGGAUGCUCUUAUCAUAUUCAUUGUUGUUUCAAAACUUGAUAAAAUAACCGAGCGUGAAUGGGAACAGCACAAAGUUCAGUAAACUCGGUAUCGCAUAAUGAAGCUUCAACUUCUGCGGAGCUGGACACGCCCUCCGUGCCCGCUCAAACUGCAGAACACUCAUCCAGAAUAUUGAGCUGGCGGAUCCCAACUUUCUGGAGUCACAAGAUAUAGAUAUUUUGCUUGGCGCAGAGAUGUUCUGGGAUCUACUCACUCACGGAAAAAUAAGGCUACCUAAUGGACCUUAUUUGCAUAAUACUUUAUUCGGCUGGAUAAUAUCCGGUGCAAUAUAUCAUAAAUCACUAAAUGAUAAUGCUGGUCAUAUCCAGUGUAAUUAUACACAAACGAUGGAUGCGCUAUUACGACAAUUUUGGGAACUUGAGGAGCUACCCAAGCGUCAGGAUGCGCAGACUGAUGAGGAUCAGAUAUGCGAAAAUCACUUCCUCACUACAACUACGCGAAACAGUGAUGGCAGCAUCGCUUCGUGGCAUGCGCCGACGUUGCGAAGAUGUAUAGGCAAGUCCUGGUGCGCGAGCAACAGCGCCACCUGCAGUUAAUUCUCUGGCGAGACACUCCAUCGGAGCCUCUAGGGAUAUAUCGUCUAAAUACAGUCACUUACGGUACCGCAUCUGCUCCCUUUCUUAGUGUACGCUGUAUAAAGCAGUUAGGCGUCGAAUCUAAUAAUCUUGACGUUCAGAGAAUUAUCAAGGAGGAUUUCUUUGUAGACGACCUAGUAACGGGAGAUGAUGAUAAAUCUAGGUUAUUGUAUUUAUGUAAUGAAAUCGCUCAAACAUUACAGUCAGGAUGUUUCCCACUUCGAAAGUGGACAUUCAAUUUUAUGCACAAUGAUUUAAUGUCAUCUCAUGAUUCGCUUGAGCAUUUAUGUUUAAAUAAUAACAGUAGUUCUAAAACUUUAGGCAUAGGCUGGCUAAAUAUGUCAGAUGAAUUUUAUUUCAAUACGCUUUAUGAUUUUGAUAGUAAUUCGCAAGUUAUAACUAAGCGCUAUAUUUUGUCACACAUAUCACAAAUAUUUGAUCCUCUUGGAUUAAUUAGUCCAUGUAUCAUGCAGGCUAAAAUUAUUUUGCAGCGUCUAUGGCUGUUAAAAAUUGAUUGGAACGAUCCAGUUCCAAUUGAUGUCAUUGCGAUAUGGAAUAGA